This 253-nucleotide ribosomal RNA is filed under the name uncultured bacterium. RNAcentral's name for it is "partial 16S ribosomal RNA". It matches the Rfam family "Bacterial small subunit ribosomal RNA", at positions 524 to 776 of the family's 1533-position model. The record is from RNAcentral.
UACGUAGGUGGCAAGCGUUAUCCGGAAUUAUUGGGCGUAAAGAGCGCGCAGGUGGUUAAUUAAGUCUGAUGUGAAAGCCCACGGCUUAACCGUGGAGGGUCAUUGGAAACUGGUUGACUUGAGUGCAGAAGAGGGAAGUGGAAUUCCAUGUGUAGCGGUGAAAUGCGUAGAGAUAUGGAGGAACACCAGUGGCGAAGGCGACUUCCUGGUCUGCAACUGACACUGAGGCGCGAAAGCGUGGGGAGCAAACAGG